AAUACAUGUGCACUGGGCUGCACUGCUUUGGAUCGUUAUCGAGCAGAACCCAUGAUUGGCAUGGACACAUCCUCUGGAAGGGUGGUUGUAGCAUGAAGGGACAUGUGAAUCUUUAGUGCAUCUGGCACGUAAAUAUCUCGCAAUGCCAGUUACAACAGUGUCAAGUAAAUGCCUGUUCUCACUUUCAGGUGAGAUUGUAAACAAGAAGUGGGCAGCAUUAUCUCCUGCAAAUGU
This is a long non-coding RNA of Gopherus evgoodei (Goodes thornscrub tortoise), 234 nucleotides long. RefSeq lists it as uncharacterized. The record is from RefSeq and is a predicted model, not a curated record. The transcript has 3 exons. NCBI's taxonomy places the organism in Eukaryota, Metazoa, Chordata, Testudines, Testudinidae.